GAUGAACGCUAGCGGCAGGCUUAAUACAUGCAAGUCGAGGGGCAGCAUGAAGUAGCAAUACUUUGAUGGCGACCGGCAAACGGGUGCGGAACACGUACACAACCUUCCUUUAAGUGGGGAAUAGCCCAGAGAAAUUUGGAUUAAAUACCCCCGUAACACAACGAAGUGGCAUCACUUUGUUGUUANAGUUUCGACGCUUAAUGAUGGGUGUGCGUAUGAUUAGAUAGUUGGCGAGGUAACGGCUCACCAAGUCUACGAUCAUUAGCUGAUGUGAGAGCAUGAUCAGCCACACGGGCACUGAGACACGGGGCCCGACUCCUACGGGAGGCAGCAGUAAGGAAUCUUAGACAAUGGGGGAAACCCUGAUCUAGCCAUGCCGCGUGAUCGAUGAAGGCCUUAGGGUUGUAAAGAUCUUUCAGAUGGGAAGAUAAUGACGGUACCAUCAGAAGAAGCCCCGGCUAACUCCGUG
This 469-nucleotide ribosomal RNA is filed under the name uncultured bacterium. RNAcentral describes it as "bacterial SSU rRNA". It matches the Rfam family "Bacterial small subunit ribosomal RNA", at positions 28 to 507 of the family's 1533-position model. The record is from RNAcentral.